This 3416-nucleotide unclassified non-coding RNA is filed under the name Leishmania donovani. RNAcentral's name for it is "gene:LdHU3.36.7050(CDS-product:Bacterial_transfer ase_hexapeptide_(six_repeats)_putative)". The record is from RNAcentral. Lineage: Eukaryota; Euglenozoa; Kinetoplastea; Trypanosomatida; Trypanosomatidae.
UGCACCGACACAAUCAGCUGCACAUAUCUUGUUGUGUGCGCGCGUGUGCGUAUCUAGAGAAGUAGCACUCAGAAGACACUACUCGAGUAGCUCGAGUGCUUCUGCCUUAUUUUCCCAUCAUCGAUACUGCACCCCCCCCCCCCCCACAACCUCGACUCUUUCCCUUCUUUCCCGCUCCUCGCCCGUUGUGGGGACCUCUUCUCGCCUUGUCUAGCCUCUGUAUAGUAUUAGAUUUCAUCCUAGCUGCGAAGCCUUCCUCUCCCCGCCUUCUACCGCCCACCUCGUACCUCGCUGUCGCCGCUCUCCCUCCAAAUCCAUAUCGCAACAUUCGAAGGCAAAACGAAAAGCGUGAGAGGGAGGAGUGCGUCCCUCUUUCACUCGCACAUAUACCCACGCAAGCAUUGGAGACGGCUGUAUAGUGCACCCUAGUCUUUUUCUCUCGUUCUUGUGAAUCGCUUUUUUUUUAUCGUGCGAGGGUGUGUGUGUGUGCGUGGGUUACACAUGUGUGUAUUCUGCUGCUUUUCGAACACAGUCGUUGGUUGCCAUUUCCUGGCAGCACAUCUCUGGGGCACCACUCACUAACCAGGAAAAGGAGACGAAGAUCGUCGCGCUUGGAGUCGCGUCCCUGUCUAUCUCUCCCUCCUACUAUCCCUCCGUGUGUGUGUGUGUGUGUGCGUGUACUGCUGCUUUCCGUAGCACAGCUUUUUUUUUUCGUAUUUGCUUGCUUGCUUCUAGUUUUCUUUCUCAACACCUUUGCCACCGUCAUGCUGCGUCGCACUCUCCGUCGACUGAUGCCGAGCGACGCCAUCGGCAGCGUGCAUCCGGAUGUGCUGUGGGGUUAUCAGCAAGGCCAGUACGCGGGACCGGGCUGGGCCAACCUCAUCAAAUCGCUUCCGCUCGAGACGCUCGCGAUGCAGGGUGGUAGCACCAUGGCGAACCUGAACGAUCGCACCGGCACCUUUCUGGACCCCGAGGACCCGCGCCACCCGCUCGCCCUCAUGCAGUUUGGCAUCAUGGGCAAAAUGGACGGCACGUUUCAUCAGCUCGCCUACGGUGACUUUGGCCGCGUACCGAAGGGGUCUCGUCUGAUGCAGGUGCUCUACGAGAACUACCUCGAACCCUUCUCCAUGAAUCGUGUGUGCGCGCAGCUCUACUUUUACCAGAAGGUGCCGAACAACUACCACGCCUCCGUGGACGCGACAGCCGAGUACGUGGGACAGACGGCUUCUCUCGUUGGACAGGUGGUUAUCGGUCUUGGUGCCUGCAUUAUGGAGGGGGUCACGAUUCGGGCAGACACGAACUGUGUCUACAUCGCUGAAGGCGUGCAGAUCUUGGAAAACACCUGCAUCAUGAGCGACGCGCCGACGGAUCUGCUGGCGUACCAGCGUCAUGAGCUGCUUAACCCGUACCAGCAAUGGGACGGUAUGGAUGGCGUCACACGCAUCAUGCCAAACACAAUUAUCGAGUCGAACUGCUACCUCGAUGGCUGCUCCAUCGGCUCCUUCAACCGCAUUGGCCACAACACCAAGAUCAUGAAAGGCGUGACAACGGGGAUCAUGGUGCACAUCAUGCCUGGCAGCGUGGUGACGGCUGAUACCAAGAUCGGCGACGGCGAACUCUGGGGCGGCGCACCGGCUCGCAAGAUCGGUGAGGUCAGCAAGUUUGAGUACAAGCGGCCAUACUACGCAUCAUUGCUACAUCGCGAGAGCGUCGCGGAGUCGUAUCGCAACAUGUCCCGCUACGGCGACCAGUUCGUGCAUUACAGGAACGCGAUGGGCCAGCUGGAGACGCUCAUGAUUCAUUACGAGGACCACAUUACCCCAGGCAUCAAGGCCAAGGUGCGCGACUUUGAAGAGGGCCGGGAGCCGUUUCACCACACAAUUACCCGCAUCGCGCAAGGGUGGUCGCCGGCGAACCGCCCUGAUGACAAGAACUUCGCCAUGGCCCCACCUGCUCCGGGUGUGAAGCUGUUCGCUGAGCACAAUACAGACUCGUCACCGAGCGAGUGGAACGGCUCGUACGCCAACAUCACGAACAUCUUCAACGACUUCCGCUGGUAGAUGCAGCAUAAAGCCAAAAGGAAUGAACCAACCAGCGAAGUGGAGCGCAGAGAUGAAAAGCUGCUGCGCGUGCCAGCACUGGAUCUUCGGCUGCGUCGUCUGCUCAGACUCGUUCUCGGGAGUGCAGACUCUACUUGCACUCUCUGUCUCUCUCUCCGCUUCCUUGUGUAGUCGCACCUUGCCUUUCUCCUCGUAAGGUUGUUGACGCGCCGCAGUUUUUUUUUUCGUUUUUAGUGUUGUUUUGCUUUGCUAGCCGCCGCCCCCUCCCCCCCCCCCACGUCCCUCGGCGCCUCUUCUCUUUCUCUCCCCUGCCCUCCCGCUAGCGUUCGUGUUGUCCUCUUCUUGUGAGUUGGUAAGUGUGUAGAUGUAUCCAUGGGUGCCUUUCACUUGGUUGCUCGCCCUCCUCGCCUUGCUAUCCUGCAGCGCACGGGUGCCCAUGCGCGUGCUAGCCAGCUCUCCCCCUUUUGCAACCGUGAAGUCGACGCAUUUGCCAUAGUUUCUUAUCUCGUUGGCUUCUCUUGUUCGGAGCUCUUCUGUUUCUCUGUUGCCCGAGGCGCGCUUUUCUAUGACGUUGAAGUCGCUCCCUCUCCCUCUGUUUCUCUGCAGCCUUUCGCUCGGUACUUCUCUCGUCCUUUUCGUCACCCCAUGCCUCCCUCCGCGUUUGGUGGUGUGCGCAUUUUGCCUUCGGGGUGCGUCUCUCAUGUCACGGUGAGGGUGGGGUGGGGGUGACCACACGUGUGAUACGAAGGGGCGGCGAGGGAUGGAGGAGUGAGACGAAGAGGAACAGAGAGACACGUCAAUUGCCCAUCCUGCACAAACGAAAGAGAAAUCAAAGCAGGAAGAUUUGAAGGAAAGAGAGAGGGGGAAGGCGGUACAUCAGGGAUGGACUAGGAUGCACGUACCUCCACCUCGUGCAUCCUGUUUGUUGCCCACCAAACGUGCGAAGCGAUGCUUGCGUCACUCGGCCAUGCGUUCGAAGGUUCCGCUGCGGGCACCGUGAACAGCAACGGUAGCAAAGAGUAUUACCAGGAAGCCUCUGGGCCGUCCUCGUGGUCCUCGCGACUCUGUGCUAUUUUCCUCGCUCUCUAUCUCUCGAGCUUCUCUUUCGCGAGAACGGAUAUGCUGCAUGCUCGUGGCUGUACCUCUUAUUCAUCUCCGCAUUAUGUUCAUCGCAUGGACCUCUCGUACUCCUCUCACUCUUUCUUCCGUACUUGUUUUUCAUCUUCGGCUAUUUUUUCUUGUUUUUCGGCCUUUGCGUGUCCCUCGCCUCCCUUCCCGCUUCUCACCGGGGCGCGAGCACCGCAACGUGGAGUGGCCAAACCCCUUCUUCUCGAGCUUCUAUCUUGCCCUGCGCAG